RNAcentral lists this ribosomal RNA (254 nucleotides) under uncultured bacterium. Its description in RNAcentral is "partial 16S ribosomal RNA". It matches the Rfam family "Bacterial small subunit ribosomal RNA", at positions 524 to 777 of the family's 1533-position model. The record is from RNAcentral.
UACAGAGGGUGCGAGCGUUGUCCGGAAUUAUUGGGCGUAAAGAGCUCGUAGGCGGCUCGUCGCGUCGGCUGUGAAAACCUGGGGCUCAACCCCGGGCCUGCAGCCGAUACGGGCGAGCUAGAAUUCGGUAGGGGAGACUGGAAUUCCUGGUGUAGCGGUGAAAUGCGCAGAUAUCAGGAGGAACACCGGUGGCGAAGGCGGGUCUCUGGGCCGAUAUUGACGCUGAGGAGCGAAAGCGUGGGGAGCGAACAGGA